GGCCGUUUGCAUCCCACGCAGGGUCCGUGCUGGUGGUCUGGGCUUUUCCCUGUGUGCUUUGUCAUCUGCCGUCCUGUUGCGGUGGUGGAUGUGACGUGGAUUCUCUCCCCAGUGACCAUCUGCGGAUGGGAGCAGUGCAGGCCAUCCUGUUCCACAGGACCCUUCUUCCUCUGAGCAGGCAUUGCCCAUGGACGUCAGGAUUGUCAAAGAAGCUCCGUUGUGUGCGGUCCUUUUUGCACAUGUGCCGCGGAUGGUGGGUGUAUGAUAAAUGUGAAUUCAUAGUAAGUGAAUGGCUGAUGGAGGCAAGGCAGGGCACUAAGAUCCAAACCCCUCAACUUGGGGUGUGCAGGCCUGGCCCUGGUCCUGCCUGUGCUUCUGGGAAUUGGGGACGGGUGUGACAGCAUAUUUGGUGGUGGGCAGACUGCAAGCUGACGUGAAUCAUGGCUCUGUUUGGCUGUGUUUGCCAGUCUCAGGGUGUUUCUGUUCCUGGGGACAGUCAUUACGGACCUGUGUCCAUGGUCCCAAAGACAGCAAGCAGUCCCCACAGAGAGGGGCACAGCACAGCGGAUAACAGGUGCUCAGGAUGCCACAGCCAGGAUGCGAGUGCUCCUUCUUCCUAGUACUCCCUACUUUCAUGCAGGUGCCUCCACGGCUCCCGGGAGGGACAGACAUCCCUGGGGACUCUGCAAAGGGGGUUCAGGCAGAGGGCAGACCUGCAUGCCCUCGCUGUGUAGCCCCGGGGACUGAUCCACCCUCUCUGAGCCCCUUGGCAUUCCCUCCCAUCUGCGGGGCUCUGGGGAACAUAACUUCAGGGAUGCCUGCAGGAGCCCUGACGCAUGACUCCUCAGUGAGUGCCACUUCCCACUGGCCUGUUCCUUGCAUAAUUUUCCACUGCCUCCUCCGGGCUGUUCUCUCCUUGGCAGUGAGGCGGGCGCUGUCCAGGCGGUGCGGCCCUGCUUUCUCUUCUGCCAUCCCAGGUGUUAGGGCCCUGGGCAGGGGGCUUCGGUCUCUGGGGUCCUGCACGCACUGGAGGAGGGGGCUUUGCAGAGAGCCGCGUGGACUCUGCUGCGUCUCAGCUGUGCACCUGCUUAGCGUGGUGGCUUGA
This 1105-nucleotide long non-coding RNA is filed under the name Oryctolagus cuniculus (rabbit). RNAcentral describes it as "lncRNA (ENSOCUG00000033785.1)". Lineage: Eukaryota; Metazoa; Chordata; Mammalia; Lagomorpha; Leporidae. The record is from RNAcentral.